UAGUCAUAUGCUUGUCUCAAAGAUUAAGCCAUGCAUGUCUAAGUAUAAACGACUUUGUACUGCGAAACUGCGAAUGGCUCAUUAAAUCAGUUAUAGUUUAUUUGAUGGUACCUUGCUACAUGGAUAACUGUGGUAAUUCUAGAGCUAAUACAUGCGUCAAAGCCGCGACUUCAGGAAGCGGUGUAUUUAUUAGAUAAAAAACCAACGCGGUCCGCCGCUCCCUUGGUGAUUCAUAAUAACUUCUCGAAUCGCGCGGCCUUGCGCCGGCGAUGCUUCAUUCAAAUAUCUGCCCUAUCAAGUUUAGAUGGUAGGAUAGAGGCCUACCAUGCUUUCAACGGGUAACGGGGAAUGAGGGUUCGAUUCCGGAGAGGGAGCCUGAGAAACGGCUACCACAUCCAAGGAAGGCAGCAGGCGCGCAAAUUACCCAAUCCCGACACGGGGAGGUAGUGACAAUAAAUAACGAUACUGGGCUCUUUCGGGUCUAGUAAUUGGAAUGAGUACAAUUUAAAUCCCUUAACGAGGAACGAUU
RNAcentral lists this ribosomal RNA (529 nucleotides) under uncultured eukaryote. RNAcentral describes it as "SSU rRNA". It matches the Rfam family "Eukaryotic small subunit ribosomal RNA", at positions 21 to 549 of the family's 1831-position model. The record is from RNAcentral.